This is an RNA transcript of Anopheles merus, 4009 nucleotides long. It is a transcript of the gene named Alstrom syndrome protein 1 homolog a-like, with no coding region annotated. The transcript has 3 exons. Lineage: Eukaryota; Metazoa; Arthropoda; Insecta; Diptera; Culicidae. The record is from RefSeq and is a predicted model, not a curated record.
UCCUUCUCAAAGCUGUCAACGCUUGUUUUUCGUAACGGAAUUUUUCGAGCGCGCCACACCACCACCAGCGAUGCAGCUUUGUUUGGAAAAUCUAGCGAUCUGAAACAGUUCCGUUUUUGUGUGUGAAAAUCCACCAAACGAAGUGAAAAUGUCGCAAAGCGAUCGUGUGACGGACUUGAUCAUGCACUACUACAUGGAGCACGGCCGCAACCGGGACCUGGAGAAAUAUCUUCGCCUGCGCCGUAUGUCCAGCGCGACGCGCUCCUCCAGCGACGGCAGCCUUCCCUGCCUGGACGAACUGCAGCGGCGCGCCUGCCAUGCCACGGCCGAACGAUCCGGGCUCGGCAAGUCGAUGGAAAAUUUGGCCACGCUGCGCAAAAAGGCGGAACAACAGCAACUGGACGAGAGCGAAAAGUCGCUACGAAAUGCGUCCGCCGGGAGUGGGAAAUCGAACGCAAACAAAACACCCGACAAGGCAGUAGGCGCUGUGGCGACGGAUACGGCCGAUGCAAAGCAGGGCGGCGUGACGGUGCGCGAGAAAAAGAUGGAGCAAAAGAGUGGCAGGAACUUCAACUUUAAUCUCGAGUCGGUGAUCGAAAUCAAUCUUCCCCCACCGCCGACCAUAACGCUGGGCGUUCCAACCACCGCGACCACCAUUGCUCCGAUUACGUACGCCCAGCCGGGUCCGCCAGCAGCCUCGACGGCUAAGGAACAUUCGCCGCGGCUCGUCGUGCACGAAACCAGCACACAGACGGUGGCCACGGAAGAUGAUCCAAUCCGGCCGGUGGUGAAAACGCACGCCCCGGGCACGGUAGAGGAACCGCUGGACAGCACGAAGGACCUUUCGCCCGUCAGCAGUAUCGCCUCGAACAAGCAACGGCUGGAGUGGGAUUCGCUCGGGGACAUAGGGUACGAUUCGAGCGAGCGGCUCCAGUUCUGCGGUGCGGCCGAUCUGAACGAAACCGAGAAACGGUGCCUGCAGCGUUACUUCGCCCGCAAGGGAUUGACCUUCGAUCGGAGCGUGAUUGUUGUGCGGCAGCGGGAAGAACGGGAGAAAAAGGCUGCCGCACGCGGCGAGGACACAUCGAUUAUGCGAGCGAAGCCGGAUGCACAAAGCACACCGAAGAUGGCACCAUUGCAGUCAGCGCCACCACCCCCGGCAGCGGUGAGACGGAAUGAGGGCGAGGAAGCUAAAGCUACGCAAACGACGCUCCAGUCACGCGGGCGGGAAUCGCGUGGCAUUCAAGUAACGCGACGACACGACGAAUCGUCACUGCCCUACCAGCGGCAGGACAAAGCCAUCGGUACGGCCGAUAGCUACACGCUGGCGGGCUCGGUCGAUGCGGCGGAAAGUUUCGAAUUCUUCUCGCCUUCGGUGCCGGCAACGGGAAAUAACACUCCCUCGGUUGCUGCUUCCGCUUCCACGCCGGUACAGUCCUCGUCGGACACGACAUCCUCGUCGGGGGUAAAUGAGGCCAGCGCCAGUGGUUGCUCGCUGCGUCCCACCUUUGACGACGAGGUGAAGCUCGGGCUGACGCUGUACAACUCGAUCUGCGAGCUGGCGAGCAUGCCAACAGGUGUGAAGGAAAGUUUGAUCGAUAAAAUAUUCCGCAAGCUUUCGCGGCACGAUCCGAAGCGAAGAACGCGGGAACAGUUGCUGCACGACUAUGGGAAGGAUGUUAGAAAGCGCAGAGAGAAGCAGGAGCAGACCAUCGAGGAGACGGCAGUGGAGGAUGCAGGUGGCUGCUCGAAAGCGGUACAACAGGAGGACGACAAUGUGUACGACGAUGUGAGUCCUUGUAGCGAGAAGGACGAAUCGCCGCCACAGCUGGAUCGAAGCAUCGGUCUGGUGGAGGUCAUCGAGGAGACGAAGCAUCCGGCAGCACCUGUCGGAAGCUCCAACGUAUCGGAAGGCUCGGUGAAAGCGUCCCCUUCCGGAUCGAAUGAGGGCAAUAACGUGCGUCACAGCACCACUUCCACCGGUGGAUUGGUUUCGAUUGAGAACUCUUCCCAUCGCACCGUAUCCUCGCUGCCGGUGUCGGUGGGCACAACGAAGGAGAACCCUCCGCGAAAGCUGUCCGCCCCGGAACCGCGCGAUCGGCGGGUGCGCAAAGCCAUGCAGGAGUAUCUGCGGCCCAUGACGCACUCUGAGGUGGAGUAUGAGAAUUUUAAACAACUGCAACGGCUCAACCAGGAGCGUGCGCACGAUCCACAGCUGGCAAAGAUUGAUCGUGAGAUAGAACAGCUGCUGGUGAAGAAAAUGCUACUGCUCAAUCCGGGCUCAACGGUCACGGCGGAACCGACGCACCCGGCGAACGCGCCCACGGCUGCUCCACCGACCCUACCCAGCGAGCGCAGUGGAACGGUGUACACGUCGGUACAUGAUCCGGUUUCGGCUGACAGCAGCUGCUCGAAAAAUAGCACCGCCAGUACGGCCUGGAACUCACACUAUCACAUGGCGAAGGUGAUAAAAAAUCGCUCCAAGCUGGAGACGCCCAUCGAGCUUACGACCACACCGUCGGAUGUGAGCAUUCCCACCUUUAUAAAGCAGAAGCAGGACAAGUUUGUGGAAAACUAUGAUCAGGUUCGUACGCGCCGUGUGUUCGAGGAGCAGAACCACCUGUACACCCGCCCGUACAGCAGCAGCCGCAGGAGUGAUCGCAGACACCAUCCGCUCCAGCAGGAGAAGGAAAACCAUCACGCCUUCGGUAAGGAUCGGUACGCGCUCAACAAAAUGUCGAAGGGAACGGGCGGCGACAGUCGGCGACCGAUUUCGUCCUCGAACAAUACGAUCCUGUCGCCGGAGUUUAUAUCUUCCGAUUCGAUAUCGAUACCGGUCGUUACGACGCUCACGAACACCACCACAACGCACCACUAUGACAUCAAGUCGAGAAGACCAUCGUUGCCCCUGGCAACGAAAGGAGGGCGCACGGCUGGCACACAAACAACCGAUUCCAUUUUGCGUACCAAGCCCAUUUUUGGGGAAAAGAAGCAGAAGAGCGCUGGUGUGACGGCAUCCGUACAGGUUCCAUCGACCGUUGGCAGGACAGGCGUUGCGGAAGGCGGCCUUCCCAUUGUCCAAUGUAACUGUCCCUGCGGGCAGCGUGAACCCACCGUAGAAGCGCACGGCAAUCCACGGCGAACGGAAAUUAUCGACCGCACGGCAACCGGUCGGCAAGACAAGCAGGCCCAAACGAAACCCUCCUCCAUCGCGUACGUUAUUACGUUUGAAGGGACGACGGCUGCGGAACGGAACCGUCACGAUAACUACGGAUCAGCACCACCGGUGCGCCAUCCAUCGUCACUAUCGACCGAUAAUGAGGGUAGCAGCGGUAGUGCCGGGGAAAGUGAACCCGAAAAUGGGAAGGACAAUGUGUCGGAAAAGAUGCUCACGCUGCGGGAACAGUUCCGCCGGUCCUGUCCGGCAACGUUGAGCCGUAUCGAGGAGCGCCGGCAGUGUAUAAGCGAGCUGAACAAACUACGAAGCAAGCGGAACCAGCAGCGGCAACGGUUGCUGCUGCUCACGUCGGACGACUCGCUUCGCAAGACGAGCGCGGUGGGAGGAAGGGGUCAGCUACCGCCACCACCGCUCAGCCAGAGGCGCGUGUUUGCGUCGACGCGUGCCAUCCGGGAAAACACCCGCCGGCAGGUUCGCAAUCUGCCGGAGGUGCAGCGAAAGCGGGAGAUUGAACGUUUCAACAAUUUGAAGCGCAAAAAUCGAAUACUCAAGGAUGUGUACAACAAGAAUCUGCAACGAAAAGUGCUGAAAGGGCAAGUUGACCUAUCGAACAGUGUUCGAGUCAUUCAGGAUUAGUCACUGUGAGUUCUGUUGAGCCUAUCCAUUUUAAUGGUUGAUCAGUUUAGUGACAAUAACAAAACAUGUGUGUUCAUGAGAACUCUAUUUUAAAAGGCUGUAUCAGAUCACUGUUCAAAAAUCCUCUCAAUUUUGGGAUAGAAAAUCACAAUUUAUGAAAAUACGGCAAUAAACGCUCUCCAAAAAAUCACUAAA